UACGUAGGGUGCGAGCGUUGUCCGGAAUUACUGGGCGUAAAGAGCUCGUAGGUGGUUUGUCGCGUUGUCCGUGAAAACUCACAACUCAAUUGUGGGCGUGCGGGCGAUACGGGCAGACUGGAGUACUGCAGGGGAGACUGGAAUUCCUGGUGUAGCGGUGAAAUGCGCAGAUAUCAGGAGGAACACCGGUGGCGAAGGCGGGUCUCUGGGCCGAUAUCGACGCUGAGGAGCGAAAGCGUGGGGAGCGAACAGG
Molecule: ribosomal RNA, 253 nt
Filed under: uncultured bacterium
Lineage: Bacteria
Description: partial 16S ribosomal RNA
Rfam family: Bacterial small subunit ribosomal RNA
Source: RNAcentral